Molecule: ribosomal RNA, 445 nt
Filed under: uncultured bacterium
Lineage: Bacteria
Description: partial 16S ribosomal RNA
Rfam family: Bacterial small subunit ribosomal RNA
Source: RNAcentral
GUGGGGAAUAUUGGGCAAUGGAUGCAAGUCUGACCCAGCCAUCCCGCGUGCCGGAAGAAGGCCCUCAGGGUUGUAAACGGCUUUUGACGGUGAAGAAUCGACAGGAUGCGUCCUGUUUUGACGGUAGCCGUUGAAUAAGCACCGGCUAACUCCGUGCCAGCAGCCGCGGUAAUACGGAGGGUGCGAGCGUUGUCCGGAUUUAUUCGGUUUAAAGGGUGCGUAGGCUGGAAGUUCAGUCAGCGGUGAAAAGCUGUCGCUUAACGAUAGUCUUGCCGCAGAUACUUCCUUUCUUGGAUGAGGAGGAGGCCACUGGAACGGAUGGUGUAGCGGUGAAAUGCAUAGAUAUCAUCCAGAACACCGAUUGCGAAGGCAGGUGGCUGUACCUUAAUCGACGCUGAUGCACGAAAGCAUGGGGAGCAAACAGGAUUAGAAACCCCGGUAGUCC